CAUUCAACUAGUCAAUGU
This 18-nucleotide microRNA is filed under the name Corchorus capsularis. RNAcentral's name for it is "sRNA CCACVL1_11821". The record is from RNAcentral. Lineage: Eukaryota; Viridiplantae; Streptophyta; Magnoliopsida; Malvales; Malvaceae.